Molecule: long non-coding RNA, 222 nt
Filed under: Hordeum vulgare
Lineage: Eukaryota; Viridiplantae; Streptophyta; Magnoliopsida; Poales; Poaceae
Description: long non-coding RNA (HVUL_LNC000510)
Source: RNAcentral
GCUGUUGCUUGCUGUUCGGUAGAUAGGUGCUGGUUAUAGUGCUUGGGCAUCUUUAUUUUGUUUCUAGGAUUUCAAACCAGUAGGUUUUCUUCUAUGUGUUAGUUAGUGAUUGAUGUGGUGUGUGUAGGUGAUGUUUAUGCAUGUGCUUGUGCUAGUGAUAGUGUGUGGGUGUUAGUAAGUGUGUGAUGCACAAGGGUAGUGUGUGUAUGUGUGUGUGUUACU